Molecule: long non-coding RNA, 881 nt
Organism: Cotesia glomerata
Lineage: Eukaryota; Metazoa; Arthropoda; Insecta; Hymenoptera; Braconidae
Exons: 3
Source: RefSeq, a predicted model, not a curated record
GAGUAUUUUAAUGUAUUUUUAUCUGUAAAUAACAAUUAGAACUUCCUUAAAGCUAUAUGAGAUCGAAUAGACUAUCCAUACCAAAUUUUUAUUCCAGGUUUAAUGUUACAUAUUUGGAUACAUCCAGGUGUAGCUGUGGGCCUCUACAAGAACAUUCCAUACAGUAAUACAGAUAAUUCUAUAUAUUUUUAUCUGCAAAUAACUAUUGAAAGGACUUCAGAGCUAUAUAAGAAAUGGAUAAAUUCUUUUUCUUUUAAGGCUAAUUUCUCUUGAAGGACAGAUUGGAUAGAAUUAUCGCCACUUUCCGUUUUUUUUUCACGGUUAUUUUUUAUCAUAUCCACAUCACUUUCUUCAGUUCCAGAAACUAGUUUCGAAACUGGAGGAAAUUUGAAACUGAAGAAAAAUUUCUCAAAACGAUUGACAGCCAGCGCGCCAGAGUAAUUUAUUCAGAUAUAGAACAUUAGUCUUGAAAUAAAAAUCCAAUCUGGAUAGUCCACUUAGUAUCACAUAUUUGUUAAACACUCUUGAUUGUAAUUUGCAAAUAAAAAUAUAUAAAAGGAAUCUUGAUGUAAGACUGGAUAUUUGUAUAGAGGCACAUAUAAUAGGUAAGCUUGGGUAUAUCCAUUUACAUAACAUUAGACCAGACAUAAAAAUCCAAUUUGUAUAGUCCAUUAUAUUUCAUAGAGGUUUGAGCCCACAGAUACACCUAUGGAUAUCCUCAUGAAUUUCAUGUGACGGGAUAAAAAUUAAAUAUGGAUAAUCAUCAAUAUUACAUAAUUCUGAGGCACUCUUAAACGUAAUUUAUAAAUAAAAACAUCAAAAUUAUUUCUAUUUUAAAACUGGAUUCUCCGAUAAAAACUAACUUCUACUGUAGAAUUUCA